CACGUAGGGGGCGAGCGUUGUCCGGAUGUAUUGGGCGUAAAGAGCUCGUAGGCGGCUCGGAAAGUCGGUCGUGAAAUGCCGGGGCUCAACCCCGGGACUGCGUCCGAUACUCUCGAGCUGGAGGCAGGUAGGGGAGAUCGGAAUUCCUGGUGUAGCGGUGAAAUGCGCAGAUAUCAGGAGGAACACCGGUGGCGAAGGCGGAUCUCUGGGCCUUGCCUGACGCUGAGGCGCGAAAGCUAGGGGAGCAAACAGG
RNAcentral lists this ribosomal RNA (253 nucleotides) under uncultured bacterium. RNAcentral describes it as "partial 16S ribosomal RNA". It matches the Rfam family "Bacterial small subunit ribosomal RNA", at positions 524 to 776 of the family's 1533-position model. The record is from RNAcentral.